Molecule: long non-coding RNA, 1203 nt
Organism: Gasterosteus aculeatus aculeatus (three-spined stickleback)
Lineage: Eukaryota; Metazoa; Chordata; Actinopteri; Perciformes; Gasterosteidae
Source: Ensembl
CUUGCCAUACAUGGAUCACGUGCGUGUUGGGUACCUGUUUUUGAUGGUGAUGUUAUUGAGUCCUCUGUAAUCAAUCCUGGGUCGCAGGGAUCCGUCCUUCUUGCUCACAAAAAAACCCCAGCGCCGGCCGGGGUUGACGACGGUCUAAUGAGGCCGGAAGCCAAGGAGUCGCUGAUGUACUUCUCCAUAGUCCUAGUCUCAGGGGCCGACAGAGAGAAUAGUCGCCCUCUUGGGGGCGAGGUCCCGGAAGGAGGUCUAUAGCACAAUCGUACGGGCGGUGAGGUGGUAGUGAGGUGGCCCGAGCCUUGUUGAACACCUCCCUCACGUCGUGGUAAUCCUCCGGUACGCCAGUGAGAUCUGGGGACUCAGGAAACACGGAGCGGGUAAUGGCAGAUGCAGGCUUUAAACAAACCGCGUGACAGUGAGAACUCCACCCAAAUAUAGUCCCAGUAGCCCAGUCAAUAUGCGGAUUAUGCCUCCUAAACCAUGGAAAUCCCAAAAUGACUGGUUUUUGAGGUGCAUGAAGUACAUGAAAGGUAAGUGCUUCACUGUGUUUACCUGACAUCUCCAAGCGCAGAGGGGUGGUUUGAUGGGUAACCCUGCAGAGUAGCCGACCGUCCAACGCCGUGGCCCGGAUGGGUCUUUCCAAAGCUACUUGCUCAAUCCCCAUCUUGAUGGCCAGGUCCCGGUCGAGGAGAUUUGCCGGCCUUGAUUCGGGGUCGAGAGGGCAUUUCUAAAUUCACCUUCCGGCGGUGAUCCUAAAGCUGCGUAAGCGACCCUCUCUCUUCUCCGCUCCCGCAGACGGCCGUCGAUCCGAAUGGAGAGAGCGACCAACGCGUUUAAACCAGCAGGGAGAUCCCGAGCUGCCAAUUCGUCCUUUACGCGGCUGGAUAAUCCGCGGUAGAAGGCAUCGCGAAGGGAGGCUUGGUUCCAGUCACUCUCCCCGUGUGAAAGUCAAUGGAAUAGUCGGAAACGGAUCGCGUUCCCUGCUGCAGCCCAAACAGUCCCCGGGCCGCCUCCCAUCCGGGAGUGGCAUGAUCAAAAACCCUCUGCAUCGCGGCGGAAAACGACAUGACGGAGGAGCAGAUAGGAUAGGAAUAGGAUUCUGCAGAAUAGGGCGGCACGGUGGUGUGAUGGUUAGCAUGGUGGUGUGAUGGUUAGCACUGUCAACUCACAGCAAGAAGGUCCUGGGUUUGACUCCGC